RNAcentral lists this ribosomal RNA (468 nucleotides) under Oceanobacillus picturae. Its description in RNAcentral is "bacterial SSU rRNA". It matches the Rfam family "Bacterial small subunit ribosomal RNA", at positions 990 to 1457 of the family's 1533-position model. Lineage: Bacteria; Bacillati; Bacillota; Bacilli; Caryophanales; Bacillaceae. The record is from RNAcentral.
UCUGCUAUUCCUAGAAGAUAGGANNNUCCCUUCGGGGNACAGAGUGACAGGUGUNGCAUGGUUGUCGUCAGCUCGUGUCGUGAGAUGUUGGGUUAAGUCCCGCAACGAGCGCAACCCUUGAUCUUAGUUGCCAGCAUUUAGUUGGGCACUCUAAGGUGACUGCCGGUGACAAACCGGAGGAAGGUGGGGAUGACGUCAAAUCAUCAUGCCCCUUAUGACCUGGGCUACACACGUGCUACAAUGGAUGGAACAAAGGGAAGCAAAACCGCGAGGUCAAGCAAAUCCCAUAAAACCAUUCUCAGUUCGGAUUGCAGGCUGCAACUCGCCUGCAUGAAGCCGGAAUCGCUAGUAAUCGCGGAUCAGCAUGCCGCGGUGAAUACGUUCCCGGGCCUUGUACACACCGCCCGUCACACCACGAGAGUUGGUAACACCCGAAGUCNGUGAGGUAACCUUUUGGAGCCAGCCNCC